RNAcentral lists this ribosomal RNA (176 nucleotides) under uncultured bacterium. Its description in RNAcentral is "partial 16S ribosomal RNA". It matches the Rfam family "Bacterial small subunit ribosomal RNA", at positions 1325 to 1500 of the family's 1533-position model. The record is from RNAcentral.
GUCGGAAUUGCUAGUAAUCGCAGAUCAGCAUGCUGCGGUGAAUACGUUCCCGGGCCUUGUACACACCGCCCGUCACACCAUGGGAGUCGGUAACACCCAAAGUUGGUAGCCUAACCGCAAGGAGGGCGCCGCCUAAGGUGGGAUUGAUGACUGGGGUGAAGUCGUAACAAGGUAGC